GAUGAACGCUGGCGGCGUGCUUAACACAUGCAAGUCGAACGGAGCUGUUUCGCUGACGAGACUUCGGUCAAAUCUUGAAGCAGCUUAGUGGCGGACGGGUGAGUAACGCGUGGGUAACCUGCCAUAUACAGGGGGAUAACACUUAGAAAUAGGUGCUAAUACCGCAUAAGCGCACGGUUCUGCAUGGAACAGUGUGAAAAACUCCGGUGGUAUAUGAUGGACCCGCGUCUGAUUAGCUAGUUGGUGAGGUAACGGCCCACCAAGGCGACGAUCAGUAGCCGAACUGAGAGGUUGAUCGGCCACAUUGGGACUGAGACACGGCCCAGACUCCUACGGGAGGCAGCAGUCGGGAAUAUUGCACAAUGGGGGAAACCCUGAUGCAGCGACGCCGCGUAAAGGAAGAAGGUCUUCGGAUUGUAAACUUUUGUCGACAGGGAAGAAAAGUGACAGUACCUAGUGGAGGAAGCCCGGCUAACUACGUGCC
RNAcentral lists this ribosomal RNA (484 nucleotides) under uncultured bacterium. RNAcentral describes it as "bacterial SSU rRNA". It matches the Rfam family "Bacterial small subunit ribosomal RNA", at positions 28 to 509 of the family's 1533-position model. The record is from RNAcentral.